Non-coding RNA from Pelobates cultripes (western spadefoot toad), 238 nucleotides. The record is from the annotation of a GenBank genome assembly. Lineage: Eukaryota; Metazoa; Chordata; Amphibia; Anura; Pelobatidae.
GCGAUUUAUUGCUUUCUAUGUGACGAGUUGCCAUUCUCAUUUUCAUUUUAACUAGCAUUUCUAUUUCAGUGAUUGAUAUUGAUUGCUUGUGUUAGCACUUCUAGUCCAACAACUGACUCCAUACAUCACUUGGGCAAGGUGUAGUGUAAAGAGGUAAUAUAACUUGUGACUUAUUAAUAAUUAAUGUAUUUAUUUUAAUGCCCUGUCUGUCUGUCUAUGCAUACUAUGGAAAUGAAAG